UGCUGCCUCUGGUCUUAGACUUCAUAUAGUUGACGCUACAUUCUCUGAACCCUCCAAACUGCGCUUACAUUAACAAUGACAUUGUAACAAAAACAUUCUGGCACUCACUUAUUUUCACAUCUCCGGUAGAGGGGGCGCAAUGCUUUUUAUUAGAUACAGUAGAAAUUACUAUGCAAUGUUAAAGAGACAAAAACAUUUGACGCGGAUGUAGAGAGUGUGUAACCUGUAAAGAUAGCACCACCUCCCGAUCAUUUUGUUAGGCUGUGAUACCCUGGUAAUUUGUACAUACAUUUACCGAUUUCGGGGAGAAGUUGCUUCUUCAGAUUCACCAUCACUUCUGACGGGACCCUCCGGAGGAUAAUAAUCAAUUGAGUAUUGAUACACACCCAACUAAAAAGUAAUUUUACAGGGACGUCAAAAUGCUACGGAUUUACUUGUGCUUGAGUGUUGUUGUCAACGUGGCCGUCUCGCAGGAAGCUGAGGAACCCAUCUCAUACACGUGUACAGAUGGCUAUACAUUUGACAUGGAACGACAAGAAUGCAAAGGUAAGAGGUGCUUAUCCACACUUUGUCAAAUGUCCUUGUACGUUUCUGACUUAAUGAAUAGAUUGAUUAGUAGAGGAAUUGAAUAGCACUGUGGAAGAGAUAGGAUCAGUUCUAGCAGACACUGAUACAGUAUGUGUAUACC
RNAcentral lists this long non-coding RNA (688 nucleotides) under Oncorhynchus kisutch (coho salmon). RNAcentral describes it as "lncRNA (ENSOKIG00005020596.1)". The record is from RNAcentral. Lineage: Eukaryota; Metazoa; Chordata; Actinopteri; Salmoniformes; Salmonidae.